RNAcentral lists this long non-coding RNA (706 nucleotides) under Homo sapiens (human). RNAcentral's name for it is "non-protein coding lnc-CA1-5:1". The record is from RNAcentral. Lineage: Eukaryota; Metazoa; Chordata; Mammalia; Primates; Hominidae.
GGAUGAAGCUGGAAACCAUCAUUCUUAGCAAACUAUCGCAAGGACAAAAAAACCAAACACCGCGUGAUCCCACUCAUAGGUGGGAAUUGAACUAGGAGAACACUUGGACGCAGAAAGGGGAACAUCACACACCGGGGCCUGUCAUGGGCGGGGGGAGGGGGAGGGAUAACAUUAAGAGAUAUACCUAAUGUAAAUGACUAGUGAAUGGGUGCAGCACACCAACAUGGCACGUGCUUACAUACGUAAUAAACCUGCACGUUGUGCACAUGUACCCUAGUAUCCCCAUUUUACAGAUGAGGAACCUGAAGCCCAGGUGAUAAGUAGUUUAUCCAAGGUAUCAUAGCUAGCCCACUCUUCCAGCCCUUGCUUGGUCACAGGUUACACAGAUGCCAAGAGAACCCGGGUGGCCAGCAGUAGCCAACGCUCCAGUGGCUCCAAGGUCGGCAGACAGCCAGGGAAGACGCGCAACAGGUCAGGGAUGGCAUGCAAGACCACCGCCACCAUCAGCUCUAAGCGAAUCGUCCGUCGUCCAUCCUUACCGAGUUUGAAGAAACCCAUUAUCCUCCGAAGCUCUGGGUGCCAAGUCCCCACCGUCCUCCGCCGAGGCUAUCUCCAACUGUUCACCGAAGAGUGUCUCAAGUUCUGCGCCUCCAAGCAGGAGGCCGAGGAGAAGGCGCUGAACGAGGAGAAGGUGGCCUACGACUGC